This 492-nucleotide ribosomal RNA is filed under the name uncultured bacterium. RNAcentral describes it as "bacterial SSU rRNA". It matches the Rfam family "Bacterial small subunit ribosomal RNA", at positions 28 to 507 of the family's 1533-position model. The record is from RNAcentral.
GAUGAACGCUAGCUACAGGCUUAACACAUGCAAGUCGAGGGGAAACGAUAUUGGAAGCUUGCUUCUGAUAGGCGUCGACCGGCGCACGGGUGAGUAACACGUAUCCAACCUGCCGUCUACUCUUGGACAGCCUUCUGAAAGGAAGAUUAAUACAAGAUGGCAUCAUGAGUUCACAUGUUCACAUGAUUAAAGGUAUUCCGGUAGACGAUGGGGAUGCGUUCCAUUAGAUAGUAGGCGGGGUAACGGCCCACCAAACCGACGAUGGAUAGGGGUUCUGAGAGGAAGGCCCCCCACACUGGGACUGAGACACGGCCCAGACUCCUACGGGAGGCAGCAGUGAGGAAUAUUGGUCAAUGGGCGGAAGCCUGAACCAGCCAUGCCGCGUGAAGGACUAAGGCCCUACGGGUCGUAAACUUCUUUAGACGCAGAGCAAUAAGGUCCACGCGUGGACCGAUGAGAGUAUGCGUAGAAUAAGCAUCGGCUAACUCCGUG